CACGCAGGCGGUCUGUCAAGUCGGAUGUGAAAUCCCCGAGCUUAACUUGGGAAUUGCAUUCGAUACUGGUUAGCUAGAGUAUGGGAGAGGAUGGUAGAAUUCCAGGUGUAGCGGUGAAAUGCGUAGAGAUCUGGAGGAAUACCGAUGGCGAAGGCAGCCAUCUGGCCUAAUACUGACACUGAGGUGCGAAAGCAUGGGGAGCAAACAGGAUUAGAUACCCGCGUA
This 225-nucleotide ribosomal RNA is filed under the name uncultured Acinetobacter sp. RNAcentral's name for it is "partial 16S ribosomal RNA". It matches the Rfam family "Bacterial small subunit ribosomal RNA", at positions 568 to 792 of the family's 1533-position model. Lineage: Bacteria; Pseudomonadati; Pseudomonadota; Gammaproteobacteria; Moraxellales; Moraxellaceae. The record is from RNAcentral.